CAAAAAGACAAAAAAAAAAAGAAAGAAAGAGAUUUAUCCAUGAGUUAAUCUCGAGGAGGGUGUGACCUUGUUGGGAUGUGAGAAACUGUGGGAAGUAAAAAUAUUGAUGAGCCAGAUGGGAAACCUGAGGGGGUUUGGAUAAAAUCUCUAAUGCUAAGGAUUGGUUAUUAUUCACUUUGGUAUGCAUGAUGACGAGGAAGUGGCAGCUUUUAAAAAUUGAGAUGUAAUUCAGACAUCAUAAAAGUCACCCUUUUAAAGGGUCACAGACAGUGAUUUUUAGGAUAUUCCCCCAAGUGGGCGGUCUUCACCACCCUCUAAUUCCAGAGAACUUUCAUCCCUCCAAAAAGAAACUUUGUACUAAUUAGCAGAUUCCCCCCCGCCCCUUGGCAACCACUCAUCUACUUUCCGUCUCUGUGGAUUCGCCUCGUCUGGACAUUUCCUCUAAACGCAAUCAGACAAUAUGUGCUUUUUUGGUAUCUGGCUUGUUUCACUGAGCAUCCUGUUUGUAGGGCCCAACUGGUCCUGUAGGAGCUCAUGACGUGGGCAGGAUACAUUUUCUUUAACCCCUUCAAUAGCUGAUGGACAUUUAGAUGCCUUCUGUCUUCUGGCUCUCAGAGGGGAUGCUGCUAUCAACAGUCCUGGACCAAGGGCUUGGUGGUUUUUAAUCCCUCUGCAAGUGGAAUAUUGGCCCAAAGAGGACAAGCAUGUAACGUGUCUCACCAAGUGCUGUUCCCAUGUCUAGACCAGCAUAUCAAGCACAGAGCAGCUACCCUUGACCCACAGGAUGAAGAGCCAAACGUCUGCGUGCCUUGGAGCCCAGCGAGGUCCAGCCUGGCUGACCCCUCUCACUGCCCCCGGCCAGACUCUGGGCUCCGGAGUUCAGCUGUGUUAGUCCAAUCCAAGCCUCUGCCUUCUGGUCCACGGCGCCCGGGGGCCUGUCCGGGGAGGAGAGUGAUGCACGGUCCUCCGUUCUGGCUGCCAUUUGUCACAGGUACGUGCAGGUAGGAAACAGCCGAUGGCGCUGGAUGUGCAGCUCCUGUUCCCCAUUUAGGCGGGUGUCCCUUGGCAGGAGGAACGGCUCUGGCAUGAGGCUCAGGUCCUAUGUGCUACCAGGCCUGCAGGGGCUCCUUGAGUUCCCCUGCUGAUGACCACAGCCAGAGUCACCAGGGCCACUGCUUCCUGAGCCCCAAUUCUGAGAAGCCUUUCACACCUGUUUUCUCUAGUCCUUGCAUUAUCCCUGCCAGGUGAGGCGAGGUGUGGUCCCAUUUUACAGGU
This is a non-coding RNA of Sus scrofa (pig), 1275 nucleotides long. The record is from RefSeq and is a predicted model, not a curated record. NCBI's taxonomy places the organism in Eukaryota, Metazoa, Chordata, Mammalia, Artiodactyla, Suidae.